RNAcentral lists this long non-coding RNA (1805 nucleotides) under Ananas comosus (pineapple). RNAcentral describes it as "long non-coding RNA (ACOM_LNC010221)". Lineage: Eukaryota; Viridiplantae; Streptophyta; Magnoliopsida; Poales; Bromeliaceae. The record is from RNAcentral.
CAUGGCUCUCCCAUAACUAUCCAAAACAUCAUCUAGUACACGAGGGUACUCUAAUGCAUAAAGGAAAAGCUACUAACUAGGCUCACUUAGGGCGCUAUGCCCUUGCCGCGGUCCUCGCUCGGCUCGCCUCUAUGUGUACCUGUACCCCAAAACCACACGGGGUGAGAACUAUAUAAAUAUAGUUCCCAGUGGGUUCGGCCGCCGACGCCGCCGGUUUUCCCACUAGGUCUAAGCUGGCACAGAUAGAGAGAUAGAUAGAUAGAUAAAAGUAAACUGCGACUACUCUAUCAUGCCAUCAACGAUGAUAAUGCAUGCAACAACUACUAUCAUGCGAGAAUCAUGUCAUGAGUAUAGAAAAGUACAUAGUAAUGCAAUCUACAACAUACACUAUGUCUACUCGAGGUAAUGCAUGAACAUAGCAAUGAUAUUCUACUAAUCAUGAUACUAUGCUUCAACAAUAAUGGAAAUGAGCUACUACAUAGUGAUGUAUCUACAACAUGCUACUAUGUCUCAAUGUCAACUCAAGGUAUGAAUGCAAAUCUGCUAUGCCAUUCAUAUUCUUUACCCAAUCUGCUUGGAAAUGAGCUACUACAUAGUGAUGUAUCUGCACAUGCUACUAUGCCUCAAUAAUCCGAAUGAACGAGCUACUACAUAGUGCGUCGUGCAACUAUGCCUCGAUAGUAUCCAAUCUCAUGGCUAACCCGAAGGUUGCCACCCCGGGGUCAACCCCGACUCACUCUCAAUCUCAUAGGUGAGGAGAAUCUGCACUCGCACACCGAGACCGUCUGCGGGACAACUACGUCUGCCCCUAGUGAAGUACUCCGGAGACUCGUGCUUCGGUGGAGCGACCACCGACAAGCAAAAACAGACUAGUGAGUAUGAUCCAAUCCUCACAAGAGGAUACCCUAUCUACCAGGGUCAAUGUGCCUCUGCUGCACAAUACCAAAUGCAUAAUCAAUGCCUCAAAUGCACUAAUGCCAAAUGCAUAAUGUCUACAACAUGACAAUCGGGAAAAUCUACUAUCCCUAGGUUCAAAUGCCAUAGUGUUUCACUACACUAGAUUUGAUGCCACUCGUUUAUGUCAUGAUGUUAUAUGUGUCUUAAUACACUAAAUCGACAUGCCACUCGUCAAUAUUAUAGUGUCUUUAUUACACUAGUCCAAACGCCACUCGUCUAGGCCAAUUACAUGUCCAAGUUCAUCAUCAUUCUUGUCACUAUAGGAUUCUUGUCGCAAGACCCAAUCCUCAUGCAACCUAAGAUCAAGUGUCAAGCCCACAAUGCUACACAACCUAGGUAACAUGCAAGGAAUGGAAAUGUAAUCAUCUACUAAUCCUAUAAUGCACAAUAUAUCAACAUAUAGGAAUAUGAUCAACAUAUAGAACUUAGACAUAAAAGGAAGCUCAGUUGCUUCGGGAUGGACACCCCCCACCUUUUAAUGCUACCAAGAGGCUAGGGUUCCGAUUUCGUGAUUUUUGAAAGCUUUUGCCGCGAGCUGCGGCAAUCUAUACCUUAACGGCUUCGUUCUUUAAUAUCUUCACGUAGCCUCGUCGUAUCGCCGAACCGACUUCGCCAACGCGUCAGAAAACCUAGCAAUUAGGUUUAUACAUGAUCAAUUUAGAUCAAAACCCCUCACAAGCAAAACCCCUCUUUUGAUGCCCUAAGAUGCAAUUAUGUAAGAAUUCAUCAUUUGAUCUCUAAAUUCGAGCAUCAACUAUCUAUUUAGCAUCCAGGAGUUUCACUAAACCCAUUUCUAAGGCAUACAAAUCACUACUUAGCAAUUUACCAUUGUUGCUAUCAAAGCUUAC